AUUGAACGCUGGCGGCAUGCCUUACACAUGCAAGUCGAACGGUAGAGGGGGCAACCCCUUGAGAGUGGCGAACGGGUGAGUAAUGCAUCGGAACGUGCCCAGUCGUGGGGGAUAGCCCGGGGAAACCCGGAUUAAUACCGCAUACGACCUGAGGGUGAAAGCGGGGGACCGGUAACGGCCUCGCGCGAUUGGAGCGGCCGAUGUCGGAUUAGCUAGUUGGUGGGGUAAAGGGCUACCAAGGCGACGAUCCGUAGCUGGUCUGAGAGGACGACCAGCCACACUGGGACUGAGACACGGCCCAGACUCCGACGGGAGGCAGCAGUGGGGAAUUUUGGACAAUGGGGGCAACCCUGAUCCAGCCAUGCCGCGUGCGGGAAGAAGGCCUUCGGGUUGUAAACCGCUUUUGUCAGGGAAGAAAUCCUUUGGGCUAAUACCCUGGGGGGAUGACGGUACCUGAAGAAUAAGCACCGGCUAACUGCGUGCCAGCCGCCGCCGUAA
RNAcentral lists this ribosomal RNA (498 nucleotides) under uncultured bacterium. RNAcentral describes it as "partial 16S ribosomal RNA". It matches the Rfam family "Bacterial small subunit ribosomal RNA", at positions 29 to 523 of the family's 1533-position model. The record is from RNAcentral.